Molecule: ribosomal RNA, 381 nt
Filed under: Escherichia coli
Lineage: Bacteria; Pseudomonadati; Pseudomonadota; Gammaproteobacteria; Enterobacterales; Enterobacteriaceae
Also listed under: 1 other name
Description: bacterial SSU rRNA
Rfam family: Bacterial small subunit ribosomal RNA
Source: RNAcentral
AAAUUGAAGAGUUUGAUCAUGGCUCAGAUUGAACGCUGGCGGCAGGCCUAACACAUGCAAGUCGAACGGUAACAGGAAGCGCUUGCUGCUUCGCUGACGAGUGGCGGACGGGUGAGUAAUGUCUGGGAAACUGCCUGAUGGAGGGGGAUAACUACUGGAAACGGUAGCUAAUACCGCAUAACGUCGCAAGACCAAAGAGGGGGACCUUCGGGCCUCUUGCCAUCGGAUGUGCCCAGAUGGGAUUAGCUUGUUGGUGGGGUAACGGCUCACCAAGGCGACGAUCCCUAGCUGGUCUGAGAGGAUGACCAGCCACACUGGAACUGAGACACGGUCCAGACUCCUACGGGAGGCAGCAGUGGGGAAUAUUGCACAAUGGGCGCA